GACGAACGCUGGCGGCGUGCCUAACACAUGCAAGUCGAGCGAAUGAAGUUCCUUCGGGAACGGAUUUAGCGGCGGACGGGUGAGUAACACGUGGGCAACCUGCCUCAUAGAGGGGAAUAGCCUUCCGAAAGGGAGAUUAAUACCGCAUAAGAUUGUAGUACCGCAUGGUACAGUAAUUAAAGGAGUAAUCCGCUAUGAGAUGGGCCCGCGGCGCAUUAGCUAGUUGGUGAGGUAACGGCUCACCAAGGCGACGAUGCGUAGCCGACCUGAGAGGGUGAUCGGCCACAUUGGGACUGAGACACGGCCCAGACUCCUACGGGUGGCAG
This 326-nucleotide ribosomal RNA is filed under the name uncultured Bacillota bacterium. RNAcentral describes it as "bacterial SSU rRNA". It matches the Rfam family "Bacterial small subunit ribosomal RNA", at positions 28 to 351 of the family's 1533-position model. Lineage: Bacteria; Bacillati; Bacillota. The record is from RNAcentral.